Molecule: ribosomal RNA, 397 nt
Filed under: Myla sp. CMF 0091
Lineage: Eukaryota; Metazoa; Arthropoda; Insecta; Hemiptera; Coreidae
Description: SSU rRNA
Rfam family: Eukaryotic small subunit ribosomal RNA
Source: RNAcentral
GUUAGAGGUCCGAAGGCGAUCAGAUACCGCCCUAGUUCUAACCAUAAACGAUGCCAGCCAGCGAUCCGCCGACGUUCCUCCGAUGACUCGGCGGGGAGCUUUCCCCGGGAAACCAAAGCUUUUGGGUUCCGGGGGAAGUAUGGUUGCAAAGCUGAAACUUAAAGGAAUUGACGGAAGGGCACCACCAGGAGUGGAGCCUGCGGCUUAAUUUGACUCAACACGGGAAACCUCACCAGGCCCGGACAUUGGAAGGAUUGACAGAUCGAUAGCUCUUUCUCGAUUCAGUGGGUAGUGGUGCAUGGCCGUUCUUAGUUGGUGGACUGAUUUGUCUGGUUAAUUCCGAUAACGAACGAGACUCUAACCUAUUAACUAGGCGUUGCCGGUAUAAAUAGCUACC